GUAGAAGUAGUUUAAUUAAAACAUCAGGUUGUGGUUCUGAAAAUAGGGGUGAAAUCCCCCCCGUUUACC
Molecule: transfer RNA, 69 nt
Filed under: Arcos sp. KU 149
Lineage: Eukaryota; Metazoa; Chordata; Actinopteri; Blenniiformes; Gobiesocidae
Also listed under: 1 other name
Description: tRNA-His
Rfam family: tRNA
About the family: Transfer RNA (tRNA) molecules are approximately 80 nucleotides in length. Their secondary structure includes four short double-helical elements and three loops (D, anti-codon, and T loops).
Source: RNAcentral